CAGCAUCCUUAGUAAACCCCCCAGCUGCAUAUUGUGGCUUCUGGGACAAGAAAGGAUGCAAGAUCAAUCUUAGAAUUCCAAAGCUGAGAGCUUUUGCGACAGUAGCUCUUGGUUAUUUCACCUCUAAGACAUGA
Molecule: small nucleolar RNA, 134 nt
Organism: Cololabis saira (Pacific saury)
Lineage: Eukaryota; Metazoa; Chordata; Actinopteri; Beloniformes; Belonidae
Product: small nucleolar RNA SNORA14
Exons: 1
Source: RefSeq, a predicted model, not a curated record